GUUCAAGUCCCACUAUCCCCAAUAA
This 25-nucleotide transfer RNA is filed under the name Astelia pumila. Its description in RNAcentral is "partial tRNA-Leu". The record is from RNAcentral. Lineage: Eukaryota; Viridiplantae; Streptophyta; Magnoliopsida; Asparagales; Asteliaceae.